This 1059-nucleotide ribosomal RNA is filed under the name Botryosphaeria dothidea. RNAcentral's name for it is "SSU rRNA". It matches the Rfam family "Eukaryotic small subunit ribosomal RNA", at positions 54 to 1122 of the family's 1831-position model. The record is from RNAcentral. Lineage: Eukaryota; Fungi; Ascomycota; Dothideomycetes; Botryosphaeriales; Botryosphaeriaceae.
CGAAUGUCUAGUAUAGCAAUCUAUACUGUGAACUGCGAAUGGCUCAUUAAAUCAGUUAUCGUUUAUUUGAUAGUACCUUACUACUUGGAUAACCGUGGUAAUUCUAGAGCUAAUACAUGCUAAAAACCCCGACUUCGGGAGGGGUGUAUUUAUUAGAUAAAAAACCAAUGCCCUUCGGGGCUCUUUGGUGAUUCAUGAUAACUUAACGAAUCGCAUGGCCUUGCGCCGGCGAUGGUUCAUUCAAAUUUCUGCCCUAUUAACUUUCGAUGGUAGGAUAGAGGCCUACCAUGGUAUCAAUGGGUAACGGGGAAUUAGGGUUCUAUUCCGGAGAGGGAGCCUGAGAAACGGCUACCACAUCCAAGGAAGGCAGCAGGCGCGCAAAUUACCCAAUCCCGACACGGGGAGGUAGUGACAAUAAAUACUGAUACAGGGCUCUUUUGGGUCUUGUAAUUGGAAUGAGUACAAUUUAAAUACCUUAACGAGGAACAAUUGGAGGGCAAGUCUGGUGCCAGCAGCCGCGGUAAUUCCAGCUCCAAUAGCGUAUAUUAAAGUUGUUGCAGUUAAAAAGCUCGUAGUUGAACCUUGGGCCUGGCUGGCCGGUCCGCCUCACCGCGUGUACUGGUCCGGCCGGGCCUUUCCUUCUGGGGAUCCGCAUGGCCUUCACUGGCUGUGUCGGGGAACCAGGACUUUUACUUUGAAAAAAUUAGAGUGUUCAAAGCAGGCCUUUGCUCGAAUACAUUAGCAUGGAAUAAUAGAAUAGGACGUGCGGUCCUAUUUUGUUGGUUUCUAGGACCGCCGUAAUGAUUAAUAGGGAUAGUCGGGGGCAUCAGUAUUCAAUUGUCAGAGGUGAAAUUCUUGGAUUUAUUGAAGACUAACUACUGCGAAAGCAUUUGCCAAGGAUGUUUUCAUUAAUCAGUGAACGAAAGUUAGGGGAUCGAAGACGAUCAGAUACCGUCGUAGUCUUAACCGUAAACUAUGCCGACUAGGGAUCGGGCGAUGUUAUUCUUUUGACUCGCUCGGCACCUUACGAGAAAUCAAAGUCUUUGGCUCUGGGGGAGA